UUUUUUUCCUGAACUGCUUGGUUUAUUUUUGUGAAAAUAAACCCCUUGUCCUUUUUUCUGCAAAUAUAGUAGUGUCUUUUAGUGAAGACACUAACCUGGUUAUCCAGGUUUUUGGAUAACCUUAAUCCUUACAAGAGUAACUCUUAAUUGUCCAAGUGUGUGUGAAGCUCAUACUGCUUUUAACAAUCACCCUCAUUUGCAAGGUAUAGGCAUGAAUAACAUGAAGACAUGAAGACCCAACCUGAUUCAGUUUUUUGUAUCAGUUGGUACAGUCUAGUGUGCCUAUCAAAUACUUUCAUUUUAUUGUUUUUUGGGUUAACGUUUCUGUUUUAAACCCAGCCUCCGAAAAGCCUGUGAAUUCUGCCAGCAGACCCACCUACAGCCUUAUGGCAGCAGUGAGUGCUUGUGUGGGGAUGUCUCUCCUAAUAGUGAUGAGUAAAAGGAUGCAUGUAUGUUUGAGUUUGUUAUUCUUGUUAUUUUUGUGUUGUGUUCAGCAGCACUGCAAAGAUAUGAUUGUAUUGUGAAAUAUUAUUGUCUCUAAAACAAAAACUGUCUGAAA
This 559-nucleotide long non-coding RNA is filed under the name Lepisosteus oculatus (spotted gar). RNAcentral's name for it is "lncRNA (ENSLOCG00000021153.1)". Lineage: Eukaryota; Metazoa; Chordata; Actinopteri; Semionotiformes; Lepisosteidae. The record is from RNAcentral.